GACGAACGCUGGCGGCGUGCUUAACACAUGCAAGUCGAACGCUGAAGCUCAUCUUUUGUUGGGUGGAUGAGUGGCGAACGGGUGAGUAACACGUGAGUAACCUGCCCCCUUCUUUGGGAUAACGUCCGGAAACGGGUGCUAAUACUGGAUCUUCACUUGUCUUUGCAUGGGGUUUGGUGGAAAGGGUUUUUUUGGUGGGGGGUGGGGUCGCGGCCUAUCAGCUGGUUGGUGGGGUGAUGGCCUACCACGGCUUUGACGGGUGGCCGGCCUGGGAGGGUGACCGGAAAGGUUGGGAGUGAGAUAGGGCCCAGAGUCCUGCGCGAGGCAGCAGGGGGGAAUAGUGCAGGGUGAGAGCAAGCAUGGGGCAGAGACGCCGCGUGAGGGAUGGAGGGCGUCGGGUUGUGAUCCUCGUUCGGUAAAGGUCAAGCCGCAACAAAGGUUGUAGUGACGGUAGUGGGUAAAGAAGCGCCGGCUAACUACGUG
Molecule: ribosomal RNA, 483 nt
Filed under: uncultured bacterium
Lineage: Bacteria
Description: partial 16S ribosomal RNA
Rfam family: Bacterial small subunit ribosomal RNA
Source: RNAcentral